RNAcentral lists this ribosomal RNA (484 nucleotides) under uncultured bacterium. Its description in RNAcentral is "partial 16S ribosomal RNA". It matches the Rfam family "Bacterial small subunit ribosomal RNA", at positions 38 to 507 of the family's 1533-position model. The record is from RNAcentral.
AGGGAAAGAGGGAGGCAGGCCGAACACAUGCAAGUCGAGCGGAUGAAGGGAGCUUGCUCCUGGAUUCAGCGGCGGACGGGUGAGUAAUGCCUAGGAAUCUGCCUGGUAGUGGGGGAUAACGUCCGGAAACGGGCGCUAAUACCGCAUACGUCCUGAGGGAGAAAGUGGGGGAUCUUCGGACCUCACGCUAUCAGAUGAGCCUAGGUCGGAUUAGCUAGUUGGUGGGGUAAAGGCCUACCAAGGCGACGAUCCGUAACUGGUCUGAGAGGAUGAUCAGUCACACUGGAACUGAGACACGGUCCAGACUCCUACGGGAGGCAGCAGUGGGGAAUAUUGGACAGUGGGCGAAAGCCUGAUCCAGCCAUGCCGCGUGUGUGAAGAAGGUCUUCGGAUUGUAAAGCACUUUAAGUUGGGAGGAAGGGCAGUAAGUUAAUACCUUGCUGUUUUGACGUUACAAACAGAAUAAGCACCGGCUAACUUCGUG